CACGUAGGGUGCGAGCGUUGUCCGGAAUUAUUGGGCGUAAAGAGCUCGUAGGCGGUGUGUCGCGUCGGCCGUGAAAACCUGCAGCUUAACUGUGGGCUUGCGGUCGAUACGGGCAUCACUGGAGUUCGGCAGGGGAGACUGGAAUUCCUGGUGUAGCGGUGAAAUGCGCAGAUAUCAGGAGGAACACCGGUGGCGAAAGCGGCGCACUGGACCAUAACUGACGCUGAGAAGCGAAAGCAUGGGGAGCGAACAGG
Molecule: ribosomal RNA, 254 nt
Filed under: uncultured bacterium
Lineage: Bacteria
Description: partial 16S ribosomal RNA
Rfam family: Bacterial small subunit ribosomal RNA
Source: RNAcentral